CUGUCACAUCAGUCAUGUUUUCAUAGCUUGUAUCUCUUAGCUAGCAUUUUCAUUUGAGCUCUUGAUAUGUAUACAUAUCUCUCUAGUGGAUCAUUCUUCAGUCUUUAAGAGGCUACCUAACCAUAAUUUACUUCAACGCCUGUUCUUUUCCUUCAGUCUUAUUGUCUAUUUCACAAGUUUUAUUUACCUUAGGAUGUCUGUUAGAUUUCUAGAUCACUGGCACAGUAGUCUGAGUCAUCUUCAAUUCAUAGGGAUUUUUCGAAUGUAAAGGAUGUGGAAUAUUCCAGCUCUGUUCCUACUAGUCUCUUUAGCAUAUGGUUUCUGUUCUAAACCACACUAUUCAAAUGUAAUAUUAAUGAUGAAUAAAUAUUUUCAUACUUUUCCAGUUUUCUGAUUGAAGAAAUUUCCUCAGUCCCUUCCCAUGUUCUUUUAUAAAUAAAAGUCAAUAGAUUUCUUUUUUGGUUAGAGAGUUACCAAACUUAUUAAAAUAGCAUGUAGGACUCACUAUUGACUAAUGCCUAUUUAUGAAUAUAUUUUCUCUGUUGAGAGACAUCUGGGUUCUUUCCAGCUUCUGUCUAUUAUAAAUAAGGCUGCUAUGGACAUAGUGGAGUAUGUGUCCUUAUUACCAGUUGGAACUUCUUCUGGGUAUAUGCCCAGGAGAGGUAUUGCUGGAUCUUCUGAUAGUACUAUGUCCAAUUUUCUGAGGAAUCGCCAGACUGAUUUCAAGAAUGGUUGUACAAGCUUGCAAUCCCACCGGCGUUGGAUACAGAAAAUGUGGUACACUUACAUAAUGGAGUACUACUCAGCUAUUAAAAACAAUGAAUUUAUGAAAUUCUUGGGCAAAUAGAUGUAUCUGGAGGAUAUCAUCCUUAGUGAGGUAACCCAAUAACAAAAGAAGUCACUUGAUAUGCACUCACUGAUAAGGGGAUAUUAGCCCAGAAACUUAGAAUACCCAAGAUACAUUUUGCAAAACACAAGAAAAUCAAGAAGAAUGAAGACCAAAGUGUGGAUACUUCAUUCCUCCUUAUAAUAGGGAACAAAACACCCAUGGAAGGAGUUGCAGAGACAAAGUUUGGAGCUAAGAUGAAAGGAUGGACCAUCCAGAGACUACCCCACUAGGGGACCCAUCACAUAAUCAGCCACCAAACGCAGACACUAUUGCAUAUGCCAGCAAGAUUUUGCUGAAAGGACCCUGAUAUAGCUGUCUCAUGUGAGGCCAUGCCAAUGCCUGGCAAAUACAGAAGUAGAUGCUCACAGUCAUCUAUAAGAUGGAACACAGGGCCCCAAUGGAGGUUCUAGACAAAGUACCCAAGGAGCUGAAGGGGUCUACAACCCUAUAGGUGGAAUAAUAGUAUAAACUAACCAGUACCCUCAGACCUCGUGUCUCUAGCUGCAUAUGUAUCAGAAGAUGGCAUAAUCGGCCAUCAUUGGAAAGAGAGGCCCCUUGGUAUUGCAAACUUUAUAUGCCCCAGUACAGGGGAAUGCCAGGGCCAAUAAGUGGGAGUGGGUGGGUAGGGGAGCAGGUCAGGGGAAGGGUAUAGGGAACUUUCAGGAUAGCAUUUGAAAUGUAAAUAAAGAAAAUAUCUAAUAAAAAAUAAAUAUAUUUUCUCUCUCUUUCUACUUCUUUAGUUCAGAAACAGAAAUACAGAGGUAUUUUCAGUACUCCAUGGACUUUGAGAGCUAGAGCAGUUAACUUCAGUUAAAAUGUAAGCCACUCCCUUCGAUUAUCUGAUUAUGUUUGAUCAUUUAGGAUGUGCUCACAACCUCUUCAGCACCUGACAGUUUAUUCUAACCUAGGGAAUCAGAACCUGUGUAUACACAGAGGAAAAAACUCAGUUAUGUUGUGUUACUUCCUAUUUUCUAGUGAAGAAUGCUAAUAAAUUGAGUCACAAGGAAACCAAAAGGGUUAAAAGCAUUAUAUUCCAGCUUGGCUCAUUUACAGAGCCCAGAUCCCUGGGACACCAGCCUAGAAGUUGCUGAGAAGGUGUGGUCUGGUAAGGAUAUGUGCAUGUUGAUUGUACUAAAAGUGUGUAGAUAAAGAUGAGUAUCUCCCAACAUGUUAGUGGGCUACAUCCAGUCUGCAGGGGGAAUUCUGAUUCUCCACAGCUUCUGGGCUUACCUGCCUCAUUAUCUCCUCACAGUGUACCUAGCUUGCUAUUAUUCCUGGAAAUCUGGCCUGUGCCAUACUGGAUUGCAUGUGAAAAAUAAGCCAGUUUUUUUUCUGUAUGAUUUUUCCUCAUAAUUCAUUACUGAGCUUUCUAUCCCUGUGAAAAUAUCUGAGGUAAACAACUUAGGAGGAGGAGGGGCUAAUAAUGACUGAGGAACCUUGGAAAUUUUAGCCUGUGUUUGCUUAGCCUUACUUUGGAACUGUGGCCACAUGGUGACUCUAUUUGCAGAGGUGUGGCACGAGGUAUUAGCCUCAGUGGCGCUGAGAAGCAAAGGAAGGUAGCCAGAAAGAGGAAGGGGUGACAAUAUCACUUCCAAGUACUUGUGUUCAGUGCCUUCUCUUUCUCCUGCUAUGUUGUAUUUCCUGAGGUCUUGUCUCCCAUUGGCUCUGUGGGAUGGUGGUUAGGCUUCCAUAGGCUCUGGAGAGCAUUGAAGAAGGACAUGUUAUCGAAGGGAAAGGAGGUGGAAAAUAUAUAAGGGUAUGGGUAUACAGACUCUCAUGAAGGAUGCACAUUAAGUAGUCAGCAUAAGAGAGAGAUUAGCUUCAUUUCAAUAGGACGGAGGAAGAUCAAAUCUAGCAAGGGCUUGGUGGCUAAAGGUUCCUCCUGACAAGGUUGAUCACCUGAUUUUAGUCUGAGACUCAUAUAGUUCUGCAGUGAAACCACUCCUGUAGAUUUUCCUCUGAUAUCACAGGUGUACAGUGUCACUUGCUGCCUGCCACUUCUAUAUGCAUGCCUGCAUACAUACAUACAUACAAAAUAAAUAAAUGUAAUGAAACUUUACAUGUUUUUGGAACCUGUAUUUUUGUAAGUUUAAUUGGGAUUGUAUACAUUAGUAUAUAAAACUUUAAGGUAAAAAAAGACACUAAAUUGAAUUUAUAUUUAAUAUGCUUCAUUAACAGUUGAUAGUUUGUUACAACUAGAAUGAGAAAGUUACAUAAUUUGAGUUCAGUUGACUCAGUAAGCGCAUUGGCUAUCUGUACUUUUUCAGAUAGUGAGAUAUGAUAAAAUGACGGUGGGUAUGGGGGCAAGCUCUCUGGCUUCCAGUUGCUUUAUUAAAAGUUCCUAAUUCAUCCAUUAGUAAUUUGAAUAUGAUUACCUUCACCUUCGUUUUCUAUGUGAAGCAUGCUAAAGUUGAGAAAGAUGAUAUGUUUUCCUUAAGAUCUGCCAUAUCUUACAGGGUAUCAGUGUAAAGCAAAGAAGGCUAUUUCCUGUUAUCUUACUCCUUUGCCAUAGAACAAUGUUUCUGGCAAAUUGAUGUCCAAAAGGUAGCGGUGCUUGGCUUAGCAUUAGAGCCAAAUAUUAUUUGGACGUACUGUGUAUUCAUUCAUGGCUCACCAGUCUGUGCAUUUGGCUAGCUGUCUGAGUGGCACCAUACAAAGUGGGCUACAACUGUUGAAUCCGUGGAAAUCACACUAUCUGUGUCAAUCGAGUACCUUGGAGGAGCUCAGGUUUUCUCAUUUAUAUCUUAUUUGUAAAUUACUGGUCCAAGUUACACACCUUAUAAUUUCUGCUCUGGCCCAACAGAAAGAGGCACGGGUAUCCCAAAUUCAAAGACACCCCUAUAUUAGCUACAGUGGAAUGUUAUGUGAACAAGUAGAGGCUGAAUCAGGAAAACAGAUGGAUGACUGUCAUGCAUUAUAAUUGCAAUAAUCCAGAUGUUUUACUCCCAGUACUUCUUGUGACCGAUAAAAAUCUCAACCAUGGAACUAGAAUACCAUAAAUAUCUCAGUUUAGUAUAACAUUCCCUGCGUUUCCCUCCAUAAGAAUACAUGUUUACAAGCUAACUGGCCGUUUACCUUAACAGGGCCCUAACAACUAACUCUAGUGUUUUUUGUUUGUUUGAUUGAUUGAUUGAUUAUUUUGUGUGUUGGAGAAUCUACUUGUAUUAAUUUCAUCAAAUCCAUUUUUAUAUAUUUCAUCUGAGCUAGAUUUAUCUAUUAUGAAUGACAAAAACAUGAGAACAUUUCCAAGGAAGGGGGAACUAGAUCCAACCUUUGGAGCUAAAUGAAAAGACAGAAAAAGUUUUUCCUGGUUGUAUGAAUUAUAACAUGAUAAGAAGGUUCCAUAACCCUUUUAAACCCUAAUGAGAGAAGUUGAAUUUAAGCCAGAAUAAAGUUUUAUGCAAUUAUAAUUCCAUUUUACUAUUCAUCCCAAAGGAAGAAAGAACAUACUCUCUGAGAAUGUCUUAUCUACUAAUCAAUUAUAUUUCACUGCCAAAUAUAUAAAAAUCAGAAUGACAUUUUUAAAGGAUAUAUGCAUUUUAAUGCAUAACAAGAAGAGAGAAUUUCUGUAGGUGGAGAUUUUGCCCCCCUUGAGAGAAUGGCUCUUAGUGUGGUGCCAUAUUGUCACAUUUAAAUGAAUGGCACCACAUAAAAUGGCUGGUCCAUAGCACUAAGUGACCAGCCAAAGUAGGUAACACAAUUAGCAAUUAAUUUUCAUUUCUUCUCCAUAUUCAUCAGGAGAAAUCUUUAGUGAUAUCUCUAAUUCAUUUCACUUGAGAAAUAUUCAUAAUGCUAUUGAAAGGUGACAUGAACAAGAAAAUCCAUUACCAUAAUAGUCAAGAUACAUAACUUACACAUUAUGAAGGUCUCAAUAUUCUGGUGAUGCUUACCCUCAGUGAUUCAUUUACAUACUUUUUGCUUAAUCCUUAAUAUACAUGAGGCUUUCUGGAAGUUAAGACAUGCUGGGUACUAGGCAAGUAGAAUUUCUUUCUUUUAUUUAUUUUACCUUUGAUUUUCUCCCCAACACACACGCGCGCGCACACACACACACACACACACACACACACACACACACAUUUAGCCUUCCCUUGAAUACAAAGAUGGAGAACUCCCUGUGAUGCAAAAGACCCAAAAUAAUGAUCACUAUUUUCCUUAAACUUUACUUCCUUUUCCCACUAAUAUCUGAGACAUAUUUUGUAAGGAGCAGAACCUAUUAGUGUGUCAUAAGAGAAUAACAGCACACACACAACAAUUUAAAAAUCAGUAAGAUGUCUUAGAGGGUGGAGGUGCCUGCCAUCAAAGUUG
This 5194-nucleotide long non-coding RNA is filed under the name Mus musculus (house mouse). RNAcentral's name for it is "long non-coding RNA chr12:14653661-14658855". Lineage: Eukaryota; Metazoa; Chordata; Mammalia; Rodentia; Muridae. The record is from RNAcentral.